This is a long non-coding RNA of Gallus gallus (chicken), 1006 nucleotides long. Lineage: Eukaryota; Metazoa; Chordata; Aves; Galliformes; Phasianidae. The record is from Ensembl.
ACCUCUUCUAGAGCCCCCAUUUAAGGGCUGACUGCCAAUAGGGAAGGAUCUCUUCCUGGAGAUCACUUCUCUUGGAGUUUUUUCCUGGAAGCAUAUGGCUUGGCCUUCUGUGAUGGUGUAACUACAUCAGAAGAUAAAGAAAGCAUAGGCAGAUAAUAGAAAAACUACAUGGAUUAUCAUUCAAAGCACAGAGAACAAAGACAGUUACUGUAUCGGAUUUACUUGGCAAGAUUUUGGUAGUGGGGGCUACAGGGCUCCUCUGUGAGGAGAGGCUGGGACUGCCCAAUGCCAGCUGGUUCCAAGUGGCUACAGACGGUACUGGUGGCUGCACCUCAGGGCACAGCUGAGCCUUACAACCAAGGUGGUAGUGCCUCUGGGAAAAUGUGUUUAAGAAGUGAUUUAAAUAUGCUGCAGAGAAGCUGUGAGAGAGAAAAGUGAGAAAUCGAUGUGAGAGACACCAUGGUCAAAGAAGAAGGAGAGAGAUUUCCCAGGAACCAGAAUAGGGAUUCCUCUGCAGCCUAUGGAGAGAAACAUGGUGAAGUGGUUUGUCCCCCUACUGCCCAUAGAGGAUAGUGUUGAUGCACAUCUCCAGACUGCAGCCUGGGUGAACCCCACAGCACAGCAGGUGGGGAGCCCUGAAGGAAGUUGCAACCCAUGGAAAGCCCACACAGGAACAACUUCUUGGUGGGUGCUGUGACCUCAUGGAGAGAAACCCAUUCUGGAGAAGCUUUCCUGCACCCCAUGGCGUGGACCCGUUCUGGGGUGAUUCUUGAGAAAUUGCAUCCUGUGGGAAGGACCCACACUAGAGCAGUCUGUGAAGGAUUGCACAAUGCUGGAGCUGAACCCCACAGCAUCCAGCUUCCCUAAACACUUUUACUAAAGGUCUACUAUCUAUUACAGUAACAAACAACUGAAUUUUUUUCCUCAUUAGAAUAACUUAACUGUGAAACUUAUCUGCCAGGCACCGGUGUGAAGACUGCUGGUUUUAAAAAUAAAGUCUCACUCU